UGGAUCCAUGAUGAUCCACGCCAGUGAAUGAGUCAUCGAUGACGAAUAAUACGUGUCUGGAACUCUGAGGUCCAA
This 75-nucleotide small nucleolar RNA is filed under the name Cervus elaphus hippelaphus. Its description in RNAcentral is "Small nucleolar RNA SNORD113/SNORD114 family". It matches the Rfam family "Small nucleolar RNA SNORD113/SNORD114 family". From Rfam's summary of the family: The imprinted human domain at 14q32 contains two clusters of tandemly repeated small nucleolar RNAs named 14q(I) and 14q(II) snoRNAs. Lineage: Eukaryota; Metazoa; Chordata; Mammalia; Artiodactyla; Cervidae. The record is from Rfam by way of RNAcentral. RNAcentral also lists the same sequence under 1 other name.